AUACUCGGUAGGUAGCACAUACACCAAAGUUGGAAUAUUGCAGAGACGAUUAGCAUAGCUCCUGCGAAAGGAUGGCUGGCAAAUUCGUAGAGCAUUCCCUGUUUAC
Small nuclear RNA from Arvicola amphibius (Eurasian water vole), 106 nucleotides. The record is from RefSeq and is a predicted model, not a curated record. NCBI's taxonomy places the organism in Eukaryota, Metazoa, Chordata, Mammalia, Rodentia, Cricetidae.